UACGUUAGCGGCGGACGGGUGAGUAACACGUGGGUAACCUACCUAUAAGACUGGGAUAACUUCGGGAAACCGGAGCUAAUACCGGAUAAUAUUUCGAACCGCAUGGUUCGAUAGUGAAAGAUGGUUUUGCUAUCACUUAUAGAUGGACCCGCGCCGUAUUAGCUAGUUGGUAAGGUAACGGCUUACCAAGGCGACGAUACGUAGCCGACCUGAGAGGGUGAUCGGCCACACUGGAACUGAGACACGGUCCAGACUCCUACGGGAGGCAGCAGAA
RNAcentral lists this ribosomal RNA (274 nucleotides) under uncultured Staphylococcus sp. RNAcentral describes it as "partial 16S ribosomal RNA". It matches the Rfam family "Bacterial small subunit ribosomal RNA", at positions 88 to 354 of the family's 1533-position model. Lineage: Bacteria; Bacillati; Bacillota; Bacilli; Caryophanales; Staphylococcaceae. The record is from RNAcentral.